ACAAAGUAAAUGGAUACCGGAUGCCAAUCAAUAGACUUAUUCCAAUCUCCUAAAACAAAACAAACAUGGAUACCAGAUGCCAAUCAAUGCACUUAUUCCAAUCUCCCAAAACAAAACAAACAUGGAUACCAGAUGCCAAUCAAUGGACUUAUACCAGUCUCCAAGGAAUGAUCAUAGGAAACAACUGCCAAUAAAUGGGCUUACAAUUGACUCCUCACAAGAAACAAAUAACAGAUGCAAUAAGCAAGAGGAAACAAGUUUCCAAUAAAUGGUCUUACACUCGAC
RNAcentral lists this long non-coding RNA (285 nucleotides) under Lathyrus oleraceus (garden pea). RNAcentral's name for it is "Pisum sativum (pea) long non-coding RNA (PSAT_LNC039488)". The record is from RNAcentral. Lineage: Eukaryota; Viridiplantae; Streptophyta; Magnoliopsida; Fabales; Fabaceae.